This 931-nucleotide unclassified non-coding RNA is filed under the name Hevea brasiliensis (rubber tree). Lineage: Eukaryota; Viridiplantae; Streptophyta; Magnoliopsida; Malpighiales; Euphorbiaceae. The record is from RNAcentral.
UUUGACUACUUGGACUAAGAUGGACCAAGAGGUUUGCUCAGAUCUUAAUCUAUAUGAUUUUAUGUGCCUGGUGGUGUUUGAUUUUGAGAGCUAGUUGAUGGACUAAUAUUCAUUAAUUGUGGAGGGUUUGUGGAGACACACAUAUAAGGACUUAUUUUUUGCGUUAAUUUGGUGUUGGCUUCUUGAAUAACGCUUGGAUGCUUGCAUCUUCCUCGUAUGGGAAUGUGUGAAGAGGCUUGAUCAAGAGGACUUUUGUGCCUUAGUUUUUGGUUGAAAGUUUUCUACUUAUGAACAAGAUUUGUGGUCCAUCUACUUGUAUUUUUAACUUGUCUUUCUCCUUUUUGUUUUUAGAAUUUUUGGUUGAUAGCAGUAUUUCAUGCCCUUGAUCACAGUUCAGUAGUUUGGUUGUGGUUCUCAUCAAUUGGUUUGAGAAUAUUCAAGAAGUCUUUCUCUUUAGUUGUUAGGUUUAAAAUUCUUUGCUUAGAAUAAUAAUAAUAAAAAAAAGGAAAUGUGAGCUUCCGAUAUUUGUUUUCUCAGGAUCAUUGAGAAAUUCGUGGACAUGGGCAAAGAUUGAUCUAGGAAGUGUUUCGUACAAUAAUAUGCCGUCCAUAAGGAUCAAGGAGUGUUUCUGUGAAUGAAUCCUAUAUGCAUGGUGAAACCUAUUGGCAGGGUAGUCGAGAGAUUUUCCUCUUUGUUUUGUGUCUUUCAAUUAAAUUUAUAUCCCUAUUUAUUAGGCAAGUAGAAUUAGUUUUUGAGAUUAUAUGUAUACAUGAGCCCAGCCUUUUUAUUUGAGGAAAAUGUUGAUUAUGAAUGAUCAGGGAGUUUUCUUACCCCUUAGAAUAUUUGAUUCGCUCUAUUUUAUAUGAGUAGAAUCCUUGAGAGAAUGUUGUUAUGAUUUUUAGGUUAAUAGUGCCUUUCCUUGAUUCCAGUG